UAAUAAGCAGAAAGUGAUAGGAGUGAGAUACAAGAGUAAAUACUCCUAAUCAGAGCAUAGAAAGUCUAGGUGCAGUCCAGUAGGAUAAGUACAAGUUAUACAGUACCAGAAGAUAUCCUACGAAUAUUUUAUUCUGUCAAAACCGCCGAGAUCCUCAAUGCCACCAACAGCAAGUCAACCUAAACCUGGAGGGGCGCAAAACAGAAAACGUGAGUGGGCAAAAACAAAGGUUUUGAGAACACAUUUAACUUUCAAAUGCUCUAACCCAUUGUUGUAAAACAUGUAUACUAUAUAUCAAUUCCAAUCAUGCUACACAUAUUCAUAAUCAUAAGUAUGCCAUGCCAAGAUAUAAACAGAAUAAGUAACUUAAGUGAAAAUAAAUUCAUGAAAAAUAAUACAUUAACCGGAACCCCUACAGAAGUCUGUACGGCUGAAUUCAUAGCUCAUUAGUCAAUCUAGCCGGAGUCACUGCAAAUGACCUAUACAGCACUACAUUGCACACAAGUCGGAACCACUGAAAAGGUUUGUACGACAAGACUGGGUGUAAUAUAAUUAUGAUCAAUAUUACGCUCUCAUGAUAGCUGUGCGAUAAAUCGCUAGUCACCUACGAGUCGGAACCUCCUAUAAUGGUCUGUACGACAAGACUGUGCACCUAAAUUGGAUCCAAUGUGAGCAUAGGGUGCGAGAGGUGACAUUAUAUACAGGCAUGUGCCAUAUCUCUUGCUAAUCACUAACACCGGGGUGCAGGUAUAUGAGCUCUAUGCUUCUCAAUUAAUCACAACCGUUAUUCACAUUCAUAAUCCAUAAACUCACCUGGGCUUACCUAAGCAUCCACAGAACCACAAUUAUAUAAAAUGCAUCAUAUACUAAUUCAUAUACUGAACAUAAAUUUAUAUGCAUGGCAUUUCAAGGCAUACUUUCAUUUAAACGCAUUUUCUGGGAAAUUAUCAAGUAUAUAAGUAUAUACUGAAAACCAAAAGCCUACACACUAGUAUGUCGAAGGGUUGUAGCCCCCGAGUCACCUUGACUGCGCUCGUUCUCGAGAUAAGUCUCACCUAUAUGCGAAACAACUAUAAAAACGUUAAUUUAAAGCACAUAACCAAUAUUAGCUAAUAAUUUCUCAUACAUUGCUCGAAUGGGAUGUUUGAAUAUACCAACGUGAUCUACACAACCUCACGAACAUCCCCAUAUUUUUAGAAAAAAUUUCUGACGUCCCAUGCGCCGACAAGGGCAUGGCAACACGCGCAGGGACCCUAACGGAAUCCUUUAAACUCGUUAGGAAUAUUCCGUGAAAUAUUCCGUUAAAAAGUAACAAAAACCGUUAAUUCUACCUGACGGCGUCAGAAUAUUCCAUCAACUCUGACGAAAUAUUCUAUCUUCUUCUCCGGUUAGCCUCGUCGGUCGCCGUCGUCGUUCACCAGAAACUGGAAAAUCACGAAAACCUUCAUAUCUCGUCCAAUUCUCAACCAAAUUCCACGAAACUUGAACCAAAUUGAAGCUUAGGACAAGUAGAACAAAACCUUACCUUUCAAAAGUCCUAAAACCGACGGAACUCGUCGAAAAAUCCUUCGAUAUUCCGGCUAAAUCUGCAACUCCCUAUUCCCGAGCUUCCCAACGUCCAAAUCACUUCAUUUUUCUUCUCUGAGCCUCGUGAAGACGAUCUAAAGCUCCCUAUAACUUCAAAACUCUAAGAAAACUACACAUUUACGUGUGCAUGAACAAUACCUCAAAUCGGAGGUUAUGGUUUCUCGGGUUUUACAAGCUUUCAAGUCCUAAAAAUUGUACGAAUGGACUCAGGAGCUUGUAGGGAACAAGAACAUCACCUUUUUAACGUUG
RNAcentral lists this long non-coding RNA (1836 nucleotides) under Malus domestica (apple). RNAcentral describes it as "long non-coding RNA (MDOM_LNC012614)". The record is from RNAcentral. Lineage: Eukaryota; Viridiplantae; Streptophyta; Magnoliopsida; Rosales; Rosaceae.